GACGAACGCUGGCGGCGUGCUUAACACAUGCAAGUCGAACGGUAAGGCUCCAGCUUGCUGGGGUACACGAGUGGCGAACGGGUGAGUAACACGUGGGUGACCUGCCCUGCACUUCGGGAUAAGCCUGGGAAACUGGGUCUAAUACCGGAUAGGACCGCACCGUGAGGGUGUGGUGGAAAGUUUUUUCGGUGUGGGAUGGGCCCGCGGCCUAUCAGCUUGUUGGUGGGGUAAUGGCCUACCAAGGCGGCGACGGGUAGCCGGCCUGAGAGGGUGGACGGCCACAUUGGGACUGAGACACGGCCCAGACUCCUACGGGAGGCAGCAGUGGGGAAUAUUGCACAAUGGGCGGAAGCCUGAUGCAGCGACGCCGCGUGGGGGAUGACGGCCUUCGGGUUGUAAACUCCUUUCACCAUCGACGAAGGGUUUCUGACGGUAGAUGGAGAAGAAGCACCGGCUAACUACGUGCCAGCAGCCGCGGUAAUACGUAGGGUGCGAGCGUUGUCCGGAAUUACUGGGCGUAAAGAGCUCGUAGGUGGUUUGUCGCGUCGUCUGUGAAAUUCCGGGGCUUAACUCCGGGCGUGCAGGCGAUACGGGCAUAACUUGAGUACUGUAGGGGAGACUGGAAUUCCUGGUGUAGCGGUGAAAUGCGCAGAUAUCAGGAGGAACACCGGUGGCGAAGGCGGGUCUCUGGGCAGUAACUGACGCUGAGGAGCGAAAGCAUGGGGAGCGAACAGGAUUAGAUACCCUGGUAGUCCAUGCCGUAAACGGUGGGCGCUAGGUGUGGGUUUCCUUCCACGGGAUCCGUGCCGUAGCUAACGCAUUAAGCGCCCCGCCUGGGGAGUACGGCCGCAAGGCUAAAACUCAAAGGAAUUGACGGGGGCCCGCACAAGCGGCGGAGCAUGUGGAUUAAUUCGAUGCAACGCGAAGAACCUUACCUGGGCUUGACAUAUACAGGAUCGCGCCAGAGAUGGUGUUUCCCUUGUGGCUUGUAUACAGGUGGUGCAUGGUUGUCGUCAGCUCGUGUCGUGAGAUGUUGGGUUAAGUCCCGCAAUGAGCGCAACCCUUGUCUUAUGUUGCCAGCACGUUGUGGUGGGGACUCGUAAGAAACUGCCGGGGUUAACUCGGAGGAAGGUGGGGAUGACGUCAAAUCAUCAUGCCCCUUAUGUCCAGGGCUUCACACAUGCUACAAUGGUCGGUACAGUGGGUUGCCAGUCCGUGAGGGCGAGCUAAUCCCGCAAAGCCGGUCUCAGUUCGGAUCGGGGUCUGCAACUCGACCCCGUGAAGUCGGAGUCGCUAGUAAUCGCAGAUCAGCAACGCUGCGGUGAAUACGUUCCCGGGCCU
RNAcentral lists this ribosomal RNA (1341 nucleotides) under uncultured bacterium. RNAcentral's name for it is "16S ribosomal RNA". It matches the Rfam family "Bacterial small subunit ribosomal RNA", at positions 28 to 1381 of the family's 1533-position model. The record is from RNAcentral.